RNAcentral lists this long non-coding RNA (808 nucleotides) under Brachypodium distachyon (stiff brome). RNAcentral's name for it is "long non-coding RNA (BDIS_LNC003513)". The record is from RNAcentral. Lineage: Eukaryota; Viridiplantae; Streptophyta; Magnoliopsida; Poales; Poaceae.
UCCUGAUGGCCCAAUGGAUGUUAUCCAUUUAUCUUUUGCAAUCCUCGAGAUUUUUCUUUGGCUCCAAAGCUGGACAUGCUUAUUCUGAACGUAUAUAUGGUGAUAUCACAUUUUCUAAAAAAUAUAUAUGGUGAUAUCAGGUUAUUGUCGUAAAGCGGCAGUAGUACAUGAUUUAUGCAUAAUUUGGGAGGAACAUAGUCGACUGGAUCAUGGAGAUAGACAGCUGCCAACUGUGUCAUCUUGACUCCUACGUGCACUGAAAAAUUCCAGGCGAUUCCGUAACUGAAAAACUCACAUGGAACAAGAUGCAGGCUGAACUACUCUGUGUUUUUUGCACCCCUUGAGGCUCACGACAAUCAGUAAAUUGUUUCUUGAAGAUUAAUCUGUCUUGUUCUUUAAAUAUCUGCAAGAUCGUGCGUUGGGGCGCAAGUCUUGUCUGCACAGCUUGCCAUGCUGAGUAGUGAGUAGGGAACACUACUUAUCUGUUUUCCUCUUCACAGCUACUACGUACUAAUGAACUAUUUUUCUUUUGUUUCUUCCAGUUUCAGAUAUUGUCACAUCUCUCAGAAAGUGAGAUGCCGGUCUGCAGGUGCACACUGGAAGGAACCCUGCAACGACUUUACUAGAAACAACGACGGCCCCACACACUCCUCCACUGGGCCGGAGCAAUGAUCCUCUCCUCUCCGUCCAUUCAUUACUACACGCGCCGUCCAGGCACUUGCCAAGAAGAUGGUGGCAGUUGUUGGUGAUAAGCCGUCGCCGAUCGAUAUGGUAUCCUCCGUGGGGUCUAAUAAUCCCCUGCCUAGCU